Molecule: non-coding RNA, 98 nt
Organism: Acanthosepion pharaonis
Lineage: Eukaryota; Metazoa; Mollusca; Cephalopoda; Sepiida; Sepiidae
Source: the annotation of a GenBank genome assembly
UUGAAACACCAGUUCUCAUAUGAUCUGCAAAGUUAAGCAAUGUUGGGCUUAGUCGGUACCUAGAUGGGUGACUGCUUAGGAAUAGCAAGUGCUGUAAG